Armigeres subalbatus is the source of this 1018-nucleotide long non-coding RNA. RefSeq lists it as uncharacterized. The transcript has 3 exons. The record is from RefSeq and is a predicted model, not a curated record. NCBI's taxonomy places the organism in Eukaryota, Metazoa, Arthropoda, Insecta, Diptera, Culicidae.
AUGAUUGUAGUUGUUAUAAUUUUGUGGUAAGAGAUUGACAAAUAAUUCAUCUGUAUUUUUGUUCAUGAUUUUAGAUUCAUUAAAAACUUUAGACUCAAUAAGGAAGCCUUUCAAUACGUUCUCAAUGAAAUCAAGGAAGAAUUACCGGCUCAAAAACAAGGAGGUCUCAGUGUGGAACGUAAACUCGCUGCUUGUCUACGUUACUUCGCGGAAGGUAGCUAUCAACAUGGAUCAGGCAAAGAUUUUGACAUCGCUGUAGCUCAACCAACUUUUUCAAAAAUCUUAUCCGAAAUGCUAAAAGUAUUACAGAGGAAGAUUUGUCCACAGUGGAUAACACUUCAGAUGUAAGAAGAACAAGCACGCCGAGCUAAACGAUACUUUUACAACAAGUCUGCGAUUCCUGGAGUAGUAAUGUGUGUCGAUGGAACACAUGUUGAAAUAAUACCUCCGAAGACCAACCGCAAUCUUUUCCAUAACCGUAAAGGAUUUUACAGCUUAAAUGUCCUAAUGAUGUGCGAUGAUGAACAACGGAUUCGUUUUGUUGAUGCGAUUUUUCAGGGGUCUAACCACGACUCACAUGUGUGGCGAUUAAGUGCAGCUCGCCGAUAUUUGCAGCUUUUAUACAGGAAUGGAGACAGAAACACAAAGAUCUUAGGAGAUGCUGGAUAUCCCUCGGAACCCUGGUUGAUAACACCACAUAGAGCACCAGAAGCUGGAAGCCCUGAAAGCAAUUUUAACACCCGCCAUACAUCGGCAAGGAAUAUUAUUGAAAGGACAAUUGGAGUUGUAAAAAAUCGGUUCAGAUGCAUCCUUGCUGCCCGUCAACUACAUUAUUCGCCUACAAAAUCCUCGAAAAUUGUUAACGUGUGUUGUGCGCUGCAUAAUAUAUGUUUAACAUAUCGUAACGACUACUUAUACGACUACAUAGCAGAAUGAUCGAUGCGUCAUUAUUUUAAAAGAUUUCCCGCUGUUAUACUUAUAGAAAAUUUGCAAAUAAACUGUAUACUAACUAUAUUCA